Siniperca chuatsi (mandarin fish) is the source of this 459-nucleotide long non-coding RNA. RefSeq lists it as uncharacterized. The record is from RefSeq and is a predicted model, not a curated record. The transcript has 2 exons. Lineage: Eukaryota; Metazoa; Chordata; Actinopteri; Centrarchiformes; Sinipercidae.
UGAAAUGAUAGAUUAAAGGUUGAAUGGAAUGUUGGCUGGAAUAAGGUUCCUUGAAUGAUGGAAUAAAGGCAUAUAAACUGAGUGAAAUGUUGUAAUCAUAGUAAAAGGGUUAAAUGACAUACUGGAAUGAUGGAAUAAGAGCUGGAUUCAAUGUUGGAAUAAUGGAAUAAGGUUCCUUGAAUGAUGGAAUAAAGGCAUAUAAACUGAGUGAAAUGUUGUAAUCAUAGUAAAAGGGUUAAAUGACAUACUGGAAUGAUGGAAUAAGAGCUGGAUUCAAUGUUGGAAUAAUGGAAUAAGGUCUAAAUUGGAUGUUGGAAAGUAUAAUAAGGGCUGAAUGCCACAUAGGGAAGAUGAAAUAAACGCUGAAUGGAAUCCUGGGAUUGACAGCUUUGUGAUGUUCGUUGGAUUCAGGCUGCACUGAAUUCCCGUGACAGAAGUAAAAAAAAAAAAAAAAAAAAA